UACAGAGGUCUCAACCGUUGUUCGGAUUCAUUGGGCGUAAAGGGUGCGUAGGCGGUCGUGCAAGUCGGAUGUGAAAUCUCAGGGCUCAACCCUGAAACUGCAUUCGAUACUGCGUGGCUAGAGUGCUGGAGAGGAGACUGGAAUUUACGGUGUAGCAGUGAAAUGCGUAGAUAUCGUAAGGAAGACCAGUGGCGAAGGCGAGUCUCUGGACAGCAACUGACGCUGAGGCACGAAGGCCAGGGAGCGAAACGGG
RNAcentral lists this ribosomal RNA (253 nucleotides) under uncultured bacterium. RNAcentral describes it as "partial 16S ribosomal RNA". It matches the Rfam family "Bacterial small subunit ribosomal RNA", at positions 524 to 776 of the family's 1533-position model. The record is from RNAcentral.